AGUGAACGCUGGCGGUAGGCCUAACACAUGCAAGUCGAACGGCAGCACAGUAAGAGCUUGCUCUUACGGGUGGCGAGUGGCGGACGGGUGAGGAAUACAUCGGAAUCUACUUUUUCGUGGGGGAUAACGUAGGGAAACUUACGCUAAUACCGCAUACGACCUACGGGUGAAAGCAGGGGAUCUUCGGACCUUGCGCGAUUGAAUGAGCCGAUGUCGGAUUAGCUAGUUGGCGGGGUAAAGGCCCACCAAGGCGACGAUCCGUAGCUGGUCUGAGAGGAUGAUCAGCCACACUGGAACUGAGACACGGUCCAGACUCCUACGGGAGGCAGCAGUGGGGAAUAUUGGACAGUGGGCGCAAGCCUGAUCCAGCCAUACCGCGUGGGUGAAGAAGGCCUUCGGGUUGUAAAGCCCUUUUGUUGGGAAAGAAAAGCAGCAGGUUAAUACCCCGCUGUUCUGACGGUACCCAAAGAAUAAGCACCGGCUACUUCGUG
Molecule: ribosomal RNA, 491 nt
Filed under: uncultured bacterium
Lineage: Bacteria
Description: partial 16S ribosomal RNA
Rfam family: Bacterial small subunit ribosomal RNA
Source: RNAcentral